This 330-nucleotide ribosomal RNA is filed under the name uncultured bacterium. RNAcentral describes it as "bacterial SSU rRNA". It matches the Rfam family "Bacterial small subunit ribosomal RNA", at positions 568 to 898 of the family's 1533-position model. The record is from RNAcentral.
UGCGCAGGCGGUUGUGUAAGACAGAUGUGAAAUGCCCGGGCUUAACCUGGGAACUGCAUUUGUGACUGCACGGCUAGAAUCUGGCAGAGGGGGGUAGAAUUCCACGUGUAGCAGUGAAAUGCGUAGAUAUGUGGAGGAAUACCGAUGGCGAAGGCAGCCCCCUGGGCCAAGAUUGACGCUCAUGCACGAAAGCGUGGGGAGCAAACAGGAUUAGAUACCCUGGUAGUCCACGCCCUAAACGAUGUCUACUAGUUGUCGGGUCUUAAUUGACUUGGUAACGCAGCUAACGCGUGAAGUAGACCGCCUGGGGAGUACGGUCGCAAGAUUAAA